This 504-nucleotide ribosomal RNA is filed under the name Punctoterebra arabella. Its description in RNAcentral is "Strioterebrum arabellum partial 16S ribosomal RNA". It matches the Rfam family "Bacterial large subunit ribosomal RNA", at positions 1831 to 2598 of the family's 2925-position model. The record is from RNAcentral. Lineage: Eukaryota; Metazoa; Mollusca; Gastropoda; Neogastropoda; Terebridae.
UUGAAAUUUUUAUGAUAAGGAGUCGGACCUGCCCGGUGAAAUUUUUUAACGGCCGCGGUACUCUGACCGUGCAAAGGUAGCAUAAUCAUUUGCCUUAUAAUUGAAGGCUAGUAUGAAUGGUUUGACAAGAAUGUAGCUGUCUCUUUACAAUUUAAUAGAAUUUUAUUUUUAGGUGAAAAAGCCUAGAUUGAAUUAAUAGACAAGAAGACCCUAUCGAGCUUUAAAGAAGUUAAUAGAUAUUGAUUUUUAUUUAUAUAAAAUUUAGCUAUUAAAUAUUUUGGUUGGGGCGACUGAGGAAUAAAAAAAGCUUCCUUUUAUAAUUAUAAACAUACAGGUAUUGAUCCACAUUUAGUGAUUAAAGGAAUUAGUUACCGUAGGGAUAACAGCAUUAUCUUUUUUGAGAGUUCUAAUCGAAAAAAGGGUUUGUGACCUCGAUGUUGGACCAGAAUGUCCUAAAGAUGCAGAAGUCUUUAAGGGUUGGUCUGUUCGACCAUUAAAAUUCUA